RNAcentral lists this ribosomal RNA (567 nucleotides) under uncultured bacterium. RNAcentral describes it as "partial 16S ribosomal RNA". It matches the Rfam family "Bacterial small subunit ribosomal RNA", at positions 355 to 914 of the family's 1533-position model. The record is from RNAcentral.
UGGGGAAUUUUGGACAAUGGGCGCAAGCCUGAUCCAGCCAUGCCGCGUGCGGGAAGAAGGCCUUCGGGUUGUAAACCGCUUUUGUCAGGGAAGAAAUCUUCUGAGUUAAUACCUCGGGAGGAUGACGGUACCUGAAGAAUAAGCACCGGCUAACUACGUGCCAGCAGCCGCGGUAAUACGUAGGGUGCAAGCGUUAAUCGGAAUUACUGGGCGUAAAGCGUGCGCAGGCGGUUUUGUAAGACAGAGGUGAAAUCCCCGGGCUCAACCUGGGAACUGCCUUUGUGACUGCAAGGCUUGAGUGCGGCAGAGAGGGAUGGAAUUCCGCGUGUAGCAGUGAAAUGCGUAGAUAUGCGGAGGAACACCGAUGGCGAAGGCAAUCCCCUGGGCCUGCACUGACGCUCAUGCACGAAAGCGUGGGGAGCAAACAGGAUUAGAUACCCCUGGUAGUCCACGCCCUAAACGAUGUCAACUGGUUGUUGGGAAGGUUCCUUCUCAGUAACGUAGCUAACGCGUGAAGUUGACCGCCUGGGGAGUACGGCCGCAAGGUUGAAACUCAAAUGAAUUGAC